Molecule: non-coding RNA, 30 nt
Filed under: Mus musculus (house mouse)
Lineage: Eukaryota; Metazoa; Chordata; Mammalia; Rodentia; Muridae
Source: RNAcentral
UAUCUGGGGCUUUCUUAUUCAUCUACUUUA